This 362-nucleotide unclassified non-coding RNA is filed under the name Haplostachys haplostachya. RNAcentral describes it as "partial contains external transcribed spacer and small subunit ribosomal RNA". RNAcentral also lists the same sequence under 1 other name. Lineage: Eukaryota; Viridiplantae; Streptophyta; Magnoliopsida; Lamiales; Lamiaceae. The record is from RNAcentral.
CUUCCCUAGUCCCAAAGGGAGCCCUGGAAAAAACGGAAGGGUCAGUUCACAUCAGUAAUUUGAAACUGGUUGCAUCCUGCCAGUAGUCAUAUGCUUGUCUCAAAGGCUCCUCAAGGAGACGCGGCGCGGGGAGGACAUCAAAGCCCCCGUCGUGUCUCGCAACCCACGCAGCCCGCUCGCACGGGCGCGCUAGGGCUGUCGACCCACGACGUCGUGCUCGAUCUCUCGGAUGCGGAAAACCUAGCGGCUACGAGGCCACGACCUCCACCGCCCCUUAGAAGAGCGUCACACGCUCCCUGCGGACAACUGCCGGCCGGGUCUUGCCCCGGAGCCCCAGCGGCUCCCGGAUCAUGCCCGGCGGG